UUAAGCAUAUCAAUAAGCGGAGGAAAAGAAACCAACAGGGAUUACCUCAGUAACGGCGAGUGAAGCGGUAACAGCUCAAAUUUGAAAUCUGGCCUCACGGUCCGAGUUGUAAUUUGUAGAGGAUGCUUCGAGCAUGGUCUGGCCUAAGUUCCUUGGAACAGGACGUCAUAGAGGGUGAGAAUCCCGUAUGCGGCCAGGUGCCUACGCUCAUGUGAAGCUCCUUCGACGAGUCGAGUUGUUUGGGAAUGCAGCUCAAAAUGGGUGGUAAAUUUCAUCUAAAGCUAAAUAUUGGCCAGAGACCGAUAGCGCACAAGUAGAGUGAUCGAAAGAUGAAAAGCACUUUGGAAAGAGAGUUAAACAGUACGUGAAAUUGUUGAAAGGGAAGCGCUUGCAACCAGACUUGCGCGCGGCCGAUCAUCCGGUGUUCUCACCGGUGCACUCGGCCGUGCUCAGGCCAGCAUCGGUUUUGGCGGCUGGAUAAAGGCCCUAGGAAUGUAGCUCCUCUCGGGGAGUGUUAUAGCCUAGGGUGCAAUGCAGCCUGCCGGGACCGAGGACCGCGCUUCGGCUAGGAUGCUGGCGUAAUGGUUGUAAGCGGCCCGUCUUGAAACACGGACCAAGGAGUCUAACAUCUAUGCGAGUGUUUGGGUGUCAAACCCAUACGCGUAAUGAAAGUGAACGGAGGUGAGAACCCUUAAGGGUGCAUCAUCGACCGAUCCUGAUGUCUUCGGAAGGAUUUGAGUAAGAGCAUAGCUGUUGGGACCCGAAAGAUGGUGAACUAUGCCUGAAUAGGGUGAAGCCAGAGGAAACUCUGGUGGAGGCUCGCAGCGGUUCUGACGUGCAAAUCGAUCGUCAAAUUUGGGUAUAGGGGCG
This 870-nucleotide ribosomal RNA is filed under the name Pseudogymnoascus pannorum. RNAcentral's name for it is "partial large subunit ribosomal RNA". It matches the Rfam family "Eukaryotic large subunit ribosomal RNA", at positions 34 to 925 of the family's 3401-position model. The record is from RNAcentral. Lineage: Eukaryota; Fungi; Ascomycota; Leotiomycetes; Thelebolales; Thelebolaceae.